This 72-nucleotide transfer RNA is filed under the name Aedes aegypti (yellow fever mosquito). It matches the Rfam family "tRNA". Rfam says of the family: Transfer RNA (tRNA) molecules are approximately 80 nucleotides in length. Their secondary structure includes four short double-helical elements and three loops (D, anti-codon, and T loops). Lineage: Eukaryota; Metazoa; Arthropoda; Insecta; Diptera; Culicidae. The record is from Rfam by way of RNAcentral.
GGCUCGGUAGCUUAGUUGGCAAAGCGCUCGUCUAGCAUACAAGAGUCCUGGGUUCGAAUCCCAGCCGAGCAC